UGCUUGCUGCUAAAGCCGCGAGGCGGGGACCCACUUGGGGUCGCUGGAGAGUGGAGGCGACCCCCUUUGGGUCGCAGGGACGUCCCUGAUCUACCUGGAGAGCCCGCAGCUGAAUCGGAGCUGCAGCUGCGCCGGGCGGUGCGCGCCGAGGUCCCCCGACUCGGAGACUAGGCAGUGGCAGCGACCACGGAGGAGCUCCAUGUGUCCAGCGCAGACAGAGGCCACGGAGGAGAAGGGCUGGGGCCGGCCCCCCGAGACUCGGCCAUGGCUCUG
This is a long non-coding RNA of Echinops telfairi (small Madagascar hedgehog), 273 nucleotides long. RefSeq lists it as uncharacterized. The record is from RefSeq and is a predicted model, not a curated record. NCBI's taxonomy places the organism in Eukaryota, Metazoa, Chordata, Mammalia, Afrosoricida, Tenrecidae. The transcript is spliced from 3 exons.